CGGGUGAGUAAUGCCUAGGAAAUUGCCCUGAUGUGGGGGAUAACCAUUGGAAACGAUGGCUAAUACCGCAUGAUGCCUACGGGCCAAAGAGGGGGACCUUCGGGCCUCUCGCGUCAGGAUAUGCCUAGGUGGGAUUAGCUAGUUGGUGAGGUAAGGGCUCACCAAGGCGACGAUCCCUAGCUGGUCUGAGAGGAUGAUCAGCCACACUGGAACUGAGACACGGUCCAGACUCCUACGGGAGGCAGCAGUGGGGAAUAUUGCACAAUGGGCGCAAGCCUGAUGCAGCCAUGCCGCGUGUAUGAAGAAGGCCUUCGGGUUGUAAAGUACUUUCAGUCGUGAGGAAGGCGGUGUCGUUAAUAGCGGCAUUGUUUGACGUUAGCGACAGAAGAAGCACCGGCUAACUCCGUGCCAGCAGCCGCGGUAAUACGGAGGGUGCGAGCGUUAAUCGGAAUUACUGGGCGUAAAGCGCAUGCAGGUGGUUUGUUAAGUCAGAUGUGAAA
This 500-nucleotide ribosomal RNA is filed under the name Vibrio azureus. RNAcentral's name for it is "bacterial SSU rRNA". It matches the Rfam family "Bacterial small subunit ribosomal RNA", at positions 103 to 599 of the family's 1533-position model. The record is from RNAcentral. Lineage: Bacteria; Pseudomonadati; Pseudomonadota; Gammaproteobacteria; Vibrionales; Vibrionaceae.